CACUAUAGCCAUGCCACCCUGAACAUGUCCAAUCCUGUUUGAUCUUGGAAGCUAAGCAGGGUCAGGCCUGGUUAGUAUUUGGAUGGGAGACCACCUAGAAAGACUGGGUGCUGUAGGCA
RNAcentral lists this ribosomal RNA (119 nucleotides) under Pteropus alecto (black flying fox). The record is from RNAcentral. Lineage: Eukaryota; Metazoa; Chordata; Mammalia; Chiroptera; Pteropodidae.